This 253-nucleotide ribosomal RNA is filed under the name uncultured bacterium. RNAcentral describes it as "partial 16S ribosomal RNA". It matches the Rfam family "Bacterial small subunit ribosomal RNA", at positions 524 to 776 of the family's 1533-position model. The record is from RNAcentral.
UACGUAGGGUGCGAGCGUUGUCCGGAAUUAUUGGGCGUAAAGGGCUCGUAGGCGGUUCGUCACGUCGGGAGUGAAAACUCGGGGCUUAACCCCGAGCCUGCUUCCGAUACGGGCAGACUAGAGGUAGGCAGGGGAGAGCGGAACUCCUGGUGUAGCGGUGGAAUGCGCAGAUAUCAGGAAGAACACCGGUGGCGAAGGCGGCUCUCUGGGCCUUACCUGUCGCUGAGGAGCGAAAGCGUGGGUAGCGAACAGG